GACGAACCGUGCGAACGUUGUUCGGAAUCACUGGGCUUAAAGGGCGCGUAGGCGGGCUGCCAAGUCAGGGGUGAAAUCCUCCGGCUUAACCGGAGAACAGCCUCUGAUACUGGCGGCCUCGAGGGAGGUAGGGGCGUGCGGAACGGGUGGUGGAGCGGUGAAAUGCGUUGAUAUCAUCCGGAACUCCGGUGGCGAAAGCGGCGCGCUGGACCUCUUCUGACGCUGAGGCGCGAAAGCCAGGGGAGCGAACGGG
This 253-nucleotide ribosomal RNA is filed under the name uncultured Gemmata sp. RNAcentral describes it as "partial 16S ribosomal RNA". It matches the Rfam family "Bacterial small subunit ribosomal RNA", at positions 524 to 776 of the family's 1533-position model. The record is from RNAcentral. Lineage: Bacteria; Pseudomonadati; Planctomycetota; Planctomycetia; Gemmatales; Gemmataceae.